Molecule: ribosomal RNA, 149 nt
Filed under: uncultured fungus
Lineage: Eukaryota; Fungi
Description: 5.8S ribosomal RNA
Rfam family: 5.8S ribosomal RNA
About the family: 5.8S ribosomal RNA (5.8S rRNA) is a component of the large subunit of the eukaryotic ribosome. It is transcribed by RNA polymerase I as part of the 45S precursor that also contains 18S and 28S rRNA. Functionally, it is thought that 5.8S rRNA may be involved in ribosome translocation.
Source: RNAcentral
CAACUUUCAACAACGGAUCUCUUGGCUCUCGCAUCGAUGAAGAACGCAGCGAAAUGCGAUAAGUAAUGUGAAUUGCAGAUUUUCAGUGAAUCAUCGAAUCUUUGAACGCACCUUGCGCUCCUUGGUAUUCCGAGGAGCAUGCCUGUUUG